AAAACAAGAAAAAAAAAAAGUAAAAAAG
This 28-nucleotide small RNA is filed under the name Arabidopsis thaliana (thale cress). RNAcentral's name for it is "ATSL069340". The record is from RNAcentral. Lineage: Eukaryota; Viridiplantae; Streptophyta; Magnoliopsida; Brassicales; Brassicaceae.